UCUGCUGUUAAAGCGUGGAGCUUAACUCCAUCAUGGCAGUGGAAACUGAAAGGCUUGAGUAUGGUAGGGGCAGAGGGAAUUCCCGGUGUAGCGGUGAAAUGCGUAGAUAUCGGGAAGAACACCAGUGGCGAAGGCGCUCUGCUGGGCCAUUACUGACGCUCAUGGACGAAAGCCAGGGGAGCGAAAGGGAUUAGAUACCCCUGUAGUCCUGGCCGUAAACGAUGAACACUAGGUGUCGGGGGAAUCGACCCCUUCGGUGUCGUAGCUAACGCGUUAAGUGUUCCGCCUGGGGAGUACGCACGCAAGUGUGAAACUCAAAGGAAUUGACGGGGGCCCGCACAAGCGGUGGAGUAUGUGGUUUAAUUCGAUGCAACGCGAAGAACCUUACCAGGGUUUGACAUCCUGCGAACCUCUUAGAAAUUUGAGGGUGCCUUCGGGAAUGCAGUGACAGGUGGUGCAUGGCUGUCGUCAGCUCGUGUCGUGAGAUGUUGGGUUAAGUCCCGCAACGAGCGCAACCCACGUUUUUAGUUGCCAGCAUUUAGUUGGGCACUCUAGAAAGACCGCCGGUGAUAAACCGGAGGAAGGUGUGGAUGACGUCAAGUCAUCAUGCCCCUUACACCCUGGGCUACACACGUACUACAAUGCUACGGACAAAGGGCAGCAAACUCGCGAGAGCUAGCAAAUCCCAUAAACCGUGGCUCAGUUCAGAUCGUAGGCUGCAACUCGCCUACGUGAAGUAGGAAUCGCUAGUAAUCGCAGGUCAGCAUACUGCGGUGAAUACGUUCCCGGGCCUUGUACACACCGCCCGUCACACCAUGGAAGUUGGCCAUGCCCGAAGUCGUUACUCCAACCCUUGUGGAGGAGGACGCCGAAGGUGGGGCUAAUGACUGGGGUGAAGUCAUAACAAGGUAACCGUA
Molecule: ribosomal RNA, 917 nt
Filed under: uncultured bacterium
Lineage: Bacteria
Description: bacterial SSU rRNA
Rfam family: Bacterial small subunit ribosomal RNA
Source: RNAcentral